Molecule: ribosomal RNA, 309 nt
Filed under: Triticum aestivum (bread wheat)
Lineage: Eukaryota; Viridiplantae; Streptophyta; Magnoliopsida; Poales; Poaceae
Description: partial small subunit ribosomal RNA
Source: RNAcentral
AUGGAUGAGAUCCCUGAAGCCCCGCCAAGAGCAACCAACGUUGCCCCUCAACCGGUGAUGAUCUCCUUGCCACAACAACUCUCGCGUGCUUCCCCCAAGGAAACUAAUACUCCUAAUCCGACGGCUGAUGUAUCAACCUGUGAUCAGCCUACCCGACUUUGCGCUGUACAGGCCAUGUCAUCGUCCGCCCCAGAGCAGCCAGUGGCAAGGCCUACAACUGCUGAAGAUGCACCACCGGUUCAGAUGCCGUCCGCUGAAGCAGUGGGGGAUGCAUGCUCAGCAGACCAACCUGGUGGAAUGGACUACUAA